AGACGAACCGUCCAAACGUUAUUCGGAAUUACUGGGCUUAAAGGGUGCGUAGGCGGCCCGAUAAGUUGGGUGUGAAAUCCCACGGCUCAACCGUGGAACUGCGCUCAAUACUGUCGGACUUGAGGGAGAUAGAGGUGAGCGGAACUAAUGGUGGAGCGGUGAAAUGCGUUGAUAUCAUUAGGAACACCUGUAGCGAAAGCGGCUCACUGGGUCUCUUCUGACGCUGAGGCACGAAAGCUAGGGUAGCGAACGGGAUUAGAAACCCCGGUAGUCC
Molecule: ribosomal RNA, 274 nt
Filed under: uncultured bacterium
Lineage: Bacteria
Description: partial 16S ribosomal RNA
Rfam family: Bacterial small subunit ribosomal RNA
Source: RNAcentral